GUUGUAUGGUUAAGUGACUAAGCGUACACGGUGGAUGCCUUGGCAGUCAGAGGCGAUGAAAGACGUAGUAACUUGCGAUAAGCCCAGAUUAGGUAGUAACAACCAUUUGAGUCUGGGAUUUCUGAAUGGGGAAACCCACGUGCAUAAGCACGUAUCCUUACCUGAAUACAUAGGGUAAGGAGGCGAACCGGGGGAACUGAAACAUCUAAGUACCCCGAGGAAAAGAAAUCAACCGAGAUUCCGAAAGUAGCGGCGAGCGAAAUUGGACUAGCCCUUAAGCUUUACACGCGUUAGACGAACGGUCUGGAAAGUCCGACGAUACAGGGUGAUAGUCCCGUAGUUGACGACGUGUGUUCAGUGAAAUCGAGUAGGGCGGGACACGUGAUAUCCUGUCUGAAUAUGGGGGGACCAUCCUCCAAGGCUAAAUACUACUGACUGACCGAUAGUGAACCAGUACCGUGAGGGAAAGGCGAAAAGAACCCCUGUGAGGGGAGUGAAAUAGAACCUGAAACCGUGUACGUACAAGCAGUAGGAGCAGGCUUUGUCCUGUGACUGCGUACCUUUUGUAUAAUGGGUCAGCGACUUAUAUUCAGUGGCAAGGUUAACCAUCUAGGGGAGCCGUAGGGAAACCGAGUCUUAACUGGGCGUUCAGUCUCUGGAUAUAGACCCGAAACCAGGUGAUCUAGCCAUGGGCAGGUUGAAGGUUGAGUAACAUCAACUGGAGGACCGAACCGACUAAUGUUGAAAAAUUAGCGGAUGACUUGUGGCUAGGGGUGAAAGGCCAAUCAAACCUGGAGAUAGCUGGUUCUCCCCGAAAGCUAUUUAGGUAGCGCCUCGGACGAAUACUACUGGGGGUAGAGCACUGUUAAGGCUAGGGGGUCAUCCCGACUUACCAACCCUUUGCAAACUCCGAAUACCAGUAAGUACUAUCCGGGAGACACACGGCGGGUGCUAACGUCCGUCGUGGAGAGGGAAACAACCCAGACCGCCAGCUAAGGUCCCAAAUUACUACUAAGUGGGAAACGAUGUGGGAAGGCUCAGACAGCCAGGAUGUUGGCUUAGAAGCAGCCAUCAUUUAAAGAAAGCGUAAUAGCUCACUGGUCGAGUCGGCCUGCGCGGAAGAUGUAACGGGGCUAAGUAGUAAACCGAAGCUGCGGCAAUGUGCUUUUGCACAUUGGGUAGGGGAGCGUUCUGUAAGCGGUUGAAGGUGUGUGGUAACGCAUGCUGGACGUAUCAGAAGUGCGAAUGCUGACAUGAGUAACGAUAAAGGGGGUGAAAAACCUCCUCGCCGGAAGACCAAGGGUUCCUGUCCAACGUUAAUCGGGGCAGGGUAAGUCGACCCCUAAGGCGAGGCCGAAAGGCGUAGUCGAUGGGAAACGGGUUAAUAUUCCCGUACUUCUUACAAUUGCGAUGGGGGGACGGAGAAGGCUAGGUGGGCCUGGCGACGGUUGUCCAGGUUCAAGUGCGUAGGCUUAAGAGUUAGGUAAAUCCGGCUCUUUCUAAGGCUGAGACACGACGUCGAGCACCUACGGGUGUGAAGUCAUUGAUGCCAUGCUUCCAGGAAAAGCCUCUAAGCUUCAGAUUGUAAGGAAUCGUACCCCAAACCGACACAGGUGGUCGGGUAGAGAAUACCAAGGCGCUUGAGAGAACUCGGGUGAAGGAACUAGGCAAAAUGGUACCGUAACUUCGGGAGAAGGUACGCUCUCGACGGUGAAGUCCCUCGCGGAUGGAGCUAUUGAGAGUCGCAGAUACCAGGUGGCUGCAACUGUUUAUUAAAAACACAGCACUGUGCAAAAUCGUAAGAUGACGUAUACGGUGUGACGCCUGCCCGGUGCCGGAAGGUUAAUUGAUGGGGUUAGACUUCGGUCGAAGCUCUUGAUCGAAGCCCCGGUAAACGGCGGCCGUAACUAUAACGGUCCUAAGGUAGCGAAAUUCCUUGUCGGGUAAGUUCCGACCUGCACGAAUGGCGUAAUGAUGGCCACGCUGUCUCCACCCGAGACUCAGUGAAAUUGAAAUCGCUGUGAAGAUGCAGUGUACCCGCGGCUAGACGGAAAGACCCCGUGAACCUUUACUACAGCUUGGCACUGAACAUUGACCCUACAUGUGUAGGAUAGGUGGGAGGCUUUGAAGCACGUACGCCAGUAUGUGUGGAGCCGUCCUUGAAAUACCACCCUUGUAGUGUUGAUGUUCUAACGUCGACCCCUUAUCGGGGUUGCGGACAGUGCCUGGUGGGUAGUUUGACUGGGGCGGUCUCCUCCCAAAGAGUAACGGAGGAGCACGAAGGUGGGCUAAUCACGGUUGGACAUCGUGAGGUUAGUGCAAUGGCAUAAGCCCGCUUGACUGCGAGAAUGACAAUUCGAGCAGGUGCGAAAGCAGGUCAUAGUGAUCCGGUGGUUCUGAAUGGAAGGGCCAUCGCUCAACGGAUAAAAGGUACUCCGGGGAUAACAGGCUGAUACCGCCCAAGAGUUCAUAUCGACGGCGGUGUUUGGCACCUCGAUGUCGGCUCAUCACAUCCUGGGGCUGAAGUCGGUCCCAAGGGUAUGGCUGUUCGCCAUUUAAAGUGGUACGCGAGCUGGGUUUAGAACGUCGUGAGACAGUUCGGUCCCUAUCUGCCGUGGGCGUUGGAAGAUUGAAGGGGGCUGCUCCUAGUACGAGAGGACCGGAGUGGACGAACCUCUGGUGUUCGGGUUGUGUCGCCAGACGCAUUGCCCGGUAGCUAAGUUCGGAAUCGAUAACCGCUGAAAGCAUCUAAGCGGGAAGCGAGCCCUGAGAUGAGUCUUCCCUGAUACUUUAAGUAUCCUAAAGGGUUGUCGGAGACUACGACGUUGAUAGGUCAGGUGUGUAAGUGCUGUGAGGCAUUGAGCUAACUGAUACUAAUUGCCCGUGAGGCUUAACCAUACAACACCCAAGGGGUUU
This 2916-nucleotide ribosomal RNA is filed under the name Vibrio parahaemolyticus. Its description in RNAcentral is "23S ribosomal RNA". It matches the Rfam family "Bacterial large subunit ribosomal RNA". Lineage: Bacteria; Pseudomonadati; Pseudomonadota; Gammaproteobacteria; Vibrionales; Vibrionaceae. The record is from RNAcentral.